This 72-nucleotide transfer RNA is filed under the name bacterium. RNAcentral describes it as "tRNA-Arg". It matches the Rfam family "tRNA". Rfam says of the family: Transfer RNA (tRNA) molecules are approximately 80 nucleotides in length. The record is from RNAcentral.
GUCCCCGUAGUUUAAUGGAUAGAACGCGAGAUUGCGGAUCUCGUAAUGGAGGUUCGAUUCCUCCCGGGGGCA